AGAGUUUGAUCCUGGCUCAGAUUGAACGCUGGCGGUAUGCUUAACACAUGCAAGUCGAACGGAAACGAAACUAGCUUGCUAGUAGGCGUCGAGUGGCGGACGGGUGAGUAACGCGUAGGAAUCUGCCUGAUAGUGGGGGAUAGCCCGAAGAAAUUCGGAUUAAUACCGCAUAAUCUAUUCGUAGUAAAGUGGGGGACUUUCGAGCCUCACGCUAUCAGAUGAGCCUGCGUAAGAUUAGCUUGUUGGUAGGGUAAAAGCCUACCAAGGCAACGAUCUUUAGCUGGUCUGAGAGGAUGAUCAGCCACAUCGGGACUGAGACACGGCCCGAACUCCUACGGGAGGCAGCAGUGGGGAAUAUUGGACAAUGGGGGCAACCCUGAUCCAGCAAUACCGCGUGUGUGAAGAAGGCCUGAGGGUUGUAAAGCACUUUCAAUUGUGAAGAAAAGUUAAUGGUUAAUAACCGUUGACCUUGACGUUAACUUUAGAAGAAGCACCGGCUAACUCCGUGCCAGCAGCCGCGGUAAUACGGAGGGUGCAAGCGUUAAUCGGAAUUACUGGGCGUAAAGCGUGCGUAGGCGGUUUAUUAAGUCAGAUGUGAAAGCCCCGGGCUUAACCUGGGAACUGCAUUUGAAACUGGUCAACUAGAGUAUGGUAGAGGAAAGUGGAAUUUCUGGUGUAGCGGUGAAAUGCGUAGAUAUCAGAAGGAACAUCAAUGGCGAAGGCAGCUUUCUGGACCAAUACUGACGCUGAGGUACGAAAGCGUGGGUAGCAAACAGGAUUAGAUACCCUGGUAGUCCACGCCGUAAACGAUGAUAACUAGCCGUUGGGGGGAUUUACCCUUUAGUGGCGAAGCUAACGCGUUAAGUUAUCCGCCUGGGGAGUACGGCCGCAAGGCUAAAACUCAAAGGAAUUGACGGGGACCCGCACAAGCGGUGGAGCAUGUGGUUUAAUUCGAUGCAACGCGAAGAACCUUACCUGGUCUUGACAUCCUGCGAACUUUCUAGAAAUAGAUUGGUGCCUUCGGGAACGCAGUGACAGGUGCUGCAUGGCUGUCGUCAGCUCGUGUCGUGAGAUGUUGGGUUAAGUCCCGUAACGAGCGCAACCCCUAUCCUUAUUUGCCAGCACAUUAUGGUGGGAACUAUAAGGAGACUGCCGGUGAUAAACCGGAGGAAGGCGGGGACGACGUCAAGUCAUCAUGGCCCUUACGACCAGGGCUACACACGUGCUACAAUGGGAAGGACAAAGAGCCGCGAAGCCGCGAGGUGUAGCUAAUCUCAUAAAUCUUUUCGUAGUCCGGAUUGGAGUCUGCAACUCGACUCCAUGAAGUCGGAAUCGCUAGUAAUCGUAGAUCAGAAUGCUACGGUGAAUACGUUCCCGGGUCUUGUACACACCGCCCGUCAUACCAUGGGAGUGGGUUGCACCAGAAGUGGCUAGUCUAACUUUGUGAGGACGGUCACCACGGUGUGAUUCAUGACUGGGGUAAAGUCGUAACAAGGUAACC
Molecule: ribosomal RNA, 1501 nt
Filed under: uncultured bacterium
Lineage: Bacteria
Description: bacterial SSU rRNA
Rfam family: Bacterial small subunit ribosomal RNA
Source: RNAcentral